UUUCACCAUAGUGUCUCCUCUUUCUCUCCGCGCAGGAUCUUAGAGUCUUAGUGGGAGUUCCAAGAAGCACUGGAGAUAGUGCUUCAAUGGCGUUGACGCUGAAUACAGCUCCAUUUGUGAGAUCAUCGAGCAUCCAAGCCAAUCGAGUUCGAAAUCAGUAUGCUCUAUCGCCGGUUUCUGUUUCGUUUUCUAGAAGGAGACUAUCGGUUAUUGCCGCUGAAACUGACAAGAAUGAAGUUAAAUCUCAGGCACCAGAUAAAGCGCCGGCGAGUGGUGGUUCGAGCUUCAAUCAGCUUCUUGGAAUUAAAGGUGCUGCGCUAGAAACUAAUAAAUGGAAGAUUCGUCUUCAAUUGACAAAGCCUGUUACAUGGCCGCCCUUGGUUUGGGGAGUAGUGUGUGGAGCUGCUGCUUCUGGUAACUUCCAUUGGAAUUUCGAGGAUGUGGCUAAAUCAAUUACUUGCAUGCUUAUGUCUGGUCCAUUUCUCACUGGCUACACGCAGACGAUCAAUGAUUGGUAUGAUCGAGAAAUUGAUGCAAUUAAUGAACCUUAUCGUCCAAUCCCAUCUGGGGCAAUAUCUGAGAAUGAGGUUAUGGCACAAAUAUGGGUGUUGCUUCUGGGAGGACUUGGCUUGGCUGGUUUGUUAGAUGUGUGGGCAGGGCAUGACUUUCCUAUAGUCUUCUACCUUGCUCUGGGUGGCUCUUUGUUAUCAUACAUAUACUCUGCUCCACCUCUAAAGCUUAAACAAAAUGGAUGGAUUGGAAAUUGUGCUCUUGGAGCUAGUUAUAUCAGUUUACCAUGGUGGGCAGGUCAAGCUUUAUUUGGAACACUCGCUCCUGAUAUUGUGGUUCUUACACUCUUGUACAGCAUAGCUGGAUUUGGAAUAGGCAUUGUAAAUGAUUUCAAAAGUGUUGAGGGGGAUAGAGCUUUAGGACUUCAGUCACUUCCAGUAGCUUUUGGUGCUGAAACUGCUAAAUGGAUUUGCGUUGGCGCUAUUGACAUAACUCAAUUAUCUGUUGCUGGUUAUCUGUUGGGAGCUGGCAAGCCGUAUUAUGCAUUAGCCCUCCUUGCUCUAAUUGCUCCCCAAGUUUUUUUCCAGUUCAAAUACUUUCUCAAGGACCCCGUCAAGUACGAUGUCAAAUAUCAGGCCAGUGCCCAGCCAUUUCUUGUGCUGGGGCUGUUGAUCACUGCUCUUGCAACCAGCCAUUGAACUCUAGCAUGCGGAAAAUCAAACGUACGUACACGUACAGACAUGCGUGACAAACGCAAUGCCAGCAAGAGCAGACAGCAAAGUCUGCAGACUACCCCAGCAGCAGCCAGACCAAGUCAGGUUGCAAUUGAAUCAGAAUAUGCAUACAUACUGGAAUUCUGUUCUCUUGCUUCCGGCUGGCUCAUAUAUUUUUCAGAUAUGUCCUCAACUUUCUUCUCAUGCAUGGUUAUCACUGGAAUACACCCGGGGCUAGAGCAUGUCGUGGAAGAAGCACACUGGCCGUGCUUCGACUGUGUCUCCGGGACACAGUUGAAUGUAGAUAUCAUGAACGCGAGGUGCAAGAUUCCCGGCCGAGAAACCCGGGCAACCACUCUCCUAUGUACUGAUCGCUAGCGCAUCUAGGGCCUCGGUGCCUAGUGGAGCUGGAGAGGCCUAGCCUGAUCUGAGAAGUGCUAAUUCGGUUCGUUUCGACUUCAUUCAAGAACACCGCACCUGGAAUCAAUAAGAAAACAAGUGCUAAGUUUUAGAUCAGUGAAUAAACCGAAACGAAAGAAGAGACCUUUCUCGCUCGGUGCCUAAAGUGCACUAUGCUCCCCUUCAACAAAUGAGAGUUUUCGGUGGAACAGGUGAAUACGCGAGCAGGUUAGAUGCGUGGGACAAAGGGCUCGUAGUACAUGCUAGCGCAGCUAUGCAGUGGAAGGGAAGGAACCAAAUCGACUCCCUUUUUUCUUUGAUAAAAAAACAGUACAAAGAGAUUAGACUCUCGAAUGAGACUAAGCAGCUACCGACCAUUCCGACGCGACCCCUAAUCUACCUUGAUUAAGACGGAACAAACCAAACCUAUAAAAAAAAAUGGGAGUAAUAAUUAUUAUUGUUCUUA
Molecule: RNA transcript, 2088 nt
Organism: Cucurbita pepo subsp. pepo (vegetable marrow)
Lineage: Eukaryota; Viridiplantae; Streptophyta; Magnoliopsida; Cucurbitales; Cucurbitaceae
Gene: G4
Gene name: UbiA prenyltransferase family protein
Source: RefSeq, a predicted model, not a curated record